This 468-nucleotide ribosomal RNA is filed under the name uncultured bacterium. Its description in RNAcentral is "partial 16S ribosomal RNA". It matches the Rfam family "Bacterial small subunit ribosomal RNA", at positions 28 to 507 of the family's 1533-position model. The record is from RNAcentral.
GAUGAACGCUGGCGGCGUGCUUAACACAUGCAAGUCGAACGGAAAGGCCCGAGCUUGCUUGGGUGCUCGAGUGGCGAACGGGCGAGUAACACGUGGGUGAUCUGCCCUGCACUUCGGGAUAAGCCUGGGAAACUGGGCCUAAUACCGGCUAGGCCGAUGUUUUGGAUGCCAUUGUGGAAAGUUUUUUCGCUGUGUGUUGAGCACGGGGCCUAUCAGCUUGUUGGUGGGGUGAUGGCCUACCAAGGCGUCGACGGGUAGCCGGCCUGAGGGGGUGUAGGCACAGAUGGGGACUGGGAAGAGGACCUGAGGACUAGUGGAGGCAGCAGUGGGGAAUACUGCACAAUGGGCGCGCGGCGCACGGGGGGGUGCAGGGUGCGUGAUGACGGCCGCGGGGGUGGGAGGGCCUGGUGCGGCGGGGAAAGCGUAGUUGGGACGGUACCUGGAGACGAAGCACCGGCUAACUACGUG